ACAAUUUAAGCCAUGUAUAAAUUGCUACGAGGUCUAUUUAGUAGUGAAUACCUAGUGCAAAGUUUGGGUUAAUAUUAGAGAGGAAGAAUAUGAGGAAGCUGCUGAGAUUUGAAAAGGUAAAAAGAAUGGUGAAACAACAGAAAGGGAAGCUCUACAUUAUGAGGAUUUGCAUAACUAUGCUUUUGUGUUGGGACAACUACUCUUAGAUUCUCUAUUCUAAUGGUUUGAGUACCUUUUUUGAUUUUUUACCUUCAAUUUUUUUUUUUUUUUUAAUCUUUGUCAUCAUUGUGUAAAUCACAUCCUAUGAGGAUUUGCAUAAUUAACUAUAGGUUUUGUGUUACAAGUACCUUAGAAUCCAUAAUAAUAGAUGAUUUAGUUUCCUAGAUAUGUUGAGUUCAAUUUUCUUUUUCGUUUUUUGUUUUUUGUUUUUUCAUGAUCCUUAUGUAAAUAUCGUGUUCUGUUUUUCUUCUUUGUAAUUGUAAAUUACAUUUUGUUACUUGACCUUCUCAUUUUUCCUCUUUGAAGAGGUCUAUAUGUUCUCCUUUUCUUUUCUUUAAUAAUUUUUUAUAAAUAUUCACUUCAUAAACAACAUGUAUGAGUGUGUGUGUGUGUGUAGAUUAAAAAAGCAGAGGAGCAAUCAUCAAACAUCUAAUUAUUCACUUUGUAUAAUAUUCUUCAUUAAUUAACCUAAAAAUGCAGUAAACAGUUUAUUAUAACUAAUUAAAAUAGAAUAAUAGUGUGUAAAGAGAAUGAGAGGAGCACAAUGAAAAUAUGUACUAUUAAUCAAUCUGAAAAGAAUCCAUAUUCCUUGCACUGUUUCCGGUACUAUAUAUGCCUUUUGGAAUAAGCAAAGGGACUAGGACAAGACAAUGGCUAAGAACAUUUUCAUAUUGUAAAAUAUCAAAGUUCAUGUAUUUUAAACCGACUACGACGAUUUUAUUCUCAUCUUACCAUAUAUUCUCUUUUCAAUAGUAAAAAGAUAAUAUUUGUUGAGACUAAUUAAUUAGUAGCAUAUCUCAAUAAUAUUCAUUCCCAACUACAACUAUUUGUACGAGUAUCUCCACAAACUGUUGAAAAAAACACUUGUUUAUAAGCGUGACAAAUAUGGGCUUCUUGUAUAAGAAUUAAGUAUUGAAAUAGUAGACAAAUUGGAUUGAGUGGAGUUCUGCAGGGAGACAAGCUGAUCACUCUGCUUAUUUUCUCUCCAAAUUAGUAGGUCCCCUUACAGGCUGGCACACACUCACCAAUCAGCAGACAACAUCUGUCAAUUACCUCAAAAUUUACAUUUUAUUUUUGUUGUAUUUUCAAAGUUCCAACUAUAUAAAUCUUGCUAUCAAAGAAUACAUAUCUUUAUUAGUUUCUCCAAUAUUCAUUUCUUGAAUAGCCAAACGUUUCAAGUUCUUAGUGGAUUUGGUCAGUUUCAUGAUCAUGAUGACAAGGGACUUACUAUUGCCAAGAGAAUUAAAGUUUAGGUCAUGGCAGAGGUGUUGUAAGUACAUUCAAGAACAGAGAACAAGGAUUUAUAUCAUUUGGAGAUGUUCAGUGACUCUUCUUCUUUGGAAUGAUAAAAUGAUUGAACAUUUUGAUGAAGAAGAGACUCCAAUAUAGCAUACUAUAUAUCUUUGGGUGCGGCCAAGUUUUUACAAACCACUCAACUGAGCCCCUGGAGAAGGGUGGGAGGAGGAAAGUAAAUAAAAUGACCAAGCAUUUGUUCAAGUCGAUGUUCCAACUUAUAAUGUUUAGCUCAACAUGGAAUUCAGAAGAUUUUGCAUGAAUCUUGUAAAUGAAGUAUAACAGUAGUUCAGUUUUUUUCAACUUCUUUACAUUUUUAGUGGGCAACAUGAAAGAGAGCUUCAGAAUUUCCAGCUCCUCUUUCGUCUUCCAUUGUUCUUGUCUUUGUUUGUAUUUUACUUAUUUACUCAUUUUCUAGCAACUAUUGUGUACACUAAGGACCUUCCUUUGGCCCUAUUAUUUAAGCAACUUAAUGAC
Lycium ferocissimum is the source of this 1989-nucleotide long non-coding RNA. RefSeq lists it as uncharacterized. The transcript is spliced from 2 exons. The record is from RefSeq and is a predicted model, not a curated record. NCBI's taxonomy places the organism in Eukaryota, Viridiplantae, Streptophyta, Magnoliopsida, Solanales, Solanaceae.